RNAcentral lists this small RNA (98 nucleotides) under Methylomicrobium album. Its description in RNAcentral is "Guanidine-I sequence". It matches the Rfam family "Guanidine-I riboswitch aptamer". From Rfam's summary of the family: This family represents a conserved RNA structure found upstream of the ykkC and yxkD genes in Bacillus subtilis and related genes in other bacteria. The function of this family is unclear although it has been suggested that it may function to switch on efflux pumps and detoxification systems in response to harmful environmental molecules. Nelson showed that this riboswitch senses and responds to guanidine and it was renamed Guanidine-I riboswitch. Lineage: Bacteria; Pseudomonadati; Pseudomonadota; Gammaproteobacteria; Methylococcales; Methylococcaceae. The record is from RNAcentral. RNAcentral also lists the same sequence under 1 other name.
AAAAAUGGCGACUAGGGUUCCGGCUCAUCAGUGAGUGUCUGGACCGAGAGUUGCCGGCUCCGGUAGGGGCUACACGGCGGGAUAAAAGCCCGGGAGGA